Molecule: ribosomal RNA, 478 nt
Filed under: uncultured bacterium
Lineage: Bacteria
Description: partial 16S ribosomal RNA
Rfam family: Bacterial small subunit ribosomal RNA
Source: RNAcentral
GACGAACGCUGGCGGCGUGCUUAACACAUGCAAGUCGAGCGAUGAAGUUCCUUCGGGAACGGAUUAGCGGCGGACGGGUGAGUAACACGUGGGUAACCUGCCUCAUAGAGGGGAAUAGCCUUUCGAAAGGAAGAUUAAUACCGCAUAAGAUUGUAGUUUCGCAUGAAACAGCAAUUAAAGGAGUAAUCCGCUAUGAGAUGGACCCGCGUCGCAUUAGCUAGUUGGUGAGGUAACGGCUCACCAAGGCGACGAUGCGUAGCCGACCUGAGAGGGUGAUCGGCCACAUUGGGACUGAGACACGGCCCAGACUCCUACGGGAGGCAGCAGUGGGGAAUAUUGCACAAUGGGGGAAACCCUGAUGCAGCAACGCCGCGUGAGUGAUGACGGUCUUCGGAUUGUAAAGCUCUGUCUUCAGGGACGAUAAUGACGGUACCUGAGGAGGAAGCCACGGCUAACUACGUGCCAGCCGCCGCGGUAA